AUACGUUUCUGUAUAGUAUAUUUUCAGAAAGAAGAAGAGUUAGGCUUGUUUUUUGUGUUAUUUUUUUACAUGAUUGUCAUACCUUUUUUUUGACUAUUUUGCUCAUGAAAAUUAUGUUGAUGUUUACUUGUUCAAUUAUUGUUGAAGGAAUCUAUAUUCCGCUUUUUUGAUUUUUUAAAUAAGUUUCUACAUGCAUUUCUUUUGCACCUGCCAAAUUUCAUGAAAAAAUAUUAUGUAGCAAUUAGUUAAUUCAGUUAAACACUUUUGGUACCUAAUUUCUGUUUUCAAAAAUAGCCGAGGUGGGGCUGAGGGGGAGAGAGUUUUUUUUUUCUUUAAAAAUGUUUAUUGCAUAUUGUUUCACUUAGAUUGUUAGUAAUUAAAAAAAUGAAUAAUAUAAAUGAACUGGGUAAUCAAACAGAUACUUCAUCGUCAUCUGAUGCAGUUGUUUUAUCAACAUCUGCCAGUGGCAAAUUUUUUCAGAUCUGUAUAGAGUUAAUGUCGAAAUCAAAGUUAUUUUGGUUAAUUUUUUUACCUUUAGCUUUGUCACCAUCUGCUAUGGUUGAUAAGUUUGAAAACUUUUUUUAAAAAACAACUAUGUAUAGAUUUGUUGGCAAAAACUAUGUAUGUUUUGUUCUUUACAUUUUUUUUACCUUAUGUUUUAUCUACAUUGAGAACAUUUGGUAUGUUAAUCUUUUAUGAUUUAUCUAUUGUAUUAUACUUAGUCUUUUAAUU
Hydra vulgaris (swiftwater hydra) is the source of this 732-nucleotide long non-coding RNA. RefSeq lists it as uncharacterized. NCBI's taxonomy places the organism in Eukaryota, Metazoa, Cnidaria, Hydrozoa, Anthoathecata, Hydridae. The record is from RefSeq and is a predicted model, not a curated record.